CUGCGAAUGGCUCAUUAUAUAAGUUAUCGUUUAUUUGAUAGUACCUUACUACUUGGAUAACCGUGGUAAUUCUAGAGCUAAUACAUGCUGAAAAUCCCGACUUCGGAAGGGAUGUAUUUAUUAGAUUAAAAACCAAUGCCCUCUGGGCUCCUUGGUGAUUCAUAAUAACUUUUCGAAUCGCACGGCCUUGCGCCGGCGAUGGUUCAUUCAAAUUUCUUCCCUAUCAACUUUCGAUGUUUGGGUAUUGGCCAAACAUGGUUACAACGGGUAACGGAGGGUUAGGGCUCGACCCCGGAGAAGGAGCCUGAGAAACGGCUACUACAUCCAAGGAAGGCAGCAGGCGCGCAAAUUACCCAAUCCCGAUUCGGGGAGGUAGUGACAAUAAAUACUGAUACAGGGCUCUUUUGGGUCUUGUAAUUGGAAUGAGUACAAUUUAAAUCUCUUAACGAGGAACAAUUGGAGGGCAAGUCUGGUGCCAGCAGCCGCGGUAAUUCCAGCUCCAAUAGCGUAUAUUAAAGUUGUUGUGGUUAAAAAGCUCGUAGUUGAACCUUGGGCCUGGCUGGCCGGUCCGCCUCACCGCGUGUACUGGUCCGGCCGGGUCUUUCCCUCUGUGGAACCUCAUGCCCUUCACUGGGUGUGGCGGGGAAACAGGACUUUUACUUUGAAAAAAUUAGAGUGCUCCAGGCAGGCCUAUGCUCGAAUACAUUAGCAUGGAAUAAUAAAAUAGGACGUGUGGUUCUAUUUUGUUGGUUUCUAGGACCGCCGUAAUGAUUAAUAGGGACAGUCGGGGGCAUCAGUAUUCAAUUGUCAGAGGUGAAAUUCUUGGAUUUAUUGAAGACUAACUACUGCGAAAGCAUUUGCCAAGGAUGUUUUCAUUAAUCAGGAACGAAAGUUAGGGGAUCGAAGACGAUCAGAUACCGUCGUAGUCUUAACCAUAAACUAUGCCGACUAGGGAUCGGACGAUGUUAUUUUUUGACGCGUUCGGCACCUUACGAGAAAUCAAAGUGC
This is a ribosomal RNA of 1008 nucleotides. It matches the Rfam family "Eukaryotic small subunit ribosomal RNA", at positions 87 to 1106 of the family's 1831-position model.